This 298-nucleotide signal recognition particle RNA is filed under the name Aotus nancymaae (Ma's night monkey). Its description in RNAcentral is "Metazoan signal recognition particle RNA (ENSANAG00000012520.1)". It matches the Rfam family "Metazoan signal recognition particle RNA". Rfam says of the family: The signal recognition particle (SRP) is a universally conserved ribonucleoprotein. It is involved in the co-translational targeting of proteins to membranes. Lineage: Eukaryota; Metazoa; Chordata; Mammalia; Primates; Aotidae. The record is from RNAcentral.
GCUGGGUGCAGUAGCACGUGCCUGUGAUCCCAGCUACUCAGGAGGCUGAGGUGGGAGGAUCGCUUGAGCCCAGGAGUUCUGGGCUGUAGUGCGCUAUGCCAGUUGGGUGUCACACUAAGUUUGGUGUCAAUAUGGUGACCUCCCGGGAGUGGGGGACCACUGGGUUGCCUAAGGAGGGGUGAAACGGCCCAGGUCAGAAACCAAGCAGGUCAAAACUCCUCUGCUGAUCAGUAGUGGGAUCGUGCCUGUGAAUAGCCACUGCACUCCAGCCUGGGCAACAUAGCGAGACCCCAUCUCU